GGCCCAGACUCCUACGGGAGGCAGCAGUAGGGAAUCUUCCGCAAUGGACGAAAGUCUGACGGAGCAACGCCGCGUGAGUGAUGAAGGCUUUCGGGUCGUAAAACUCUGUUGUUAGGGAAGAACAAGUGCUAGUUGAAUAAGCUGGCACCUUGACGGUACCUAACCAGAAAGCCACGGCUAACUACGUGCCAGCAGCCGCGGUAAUACGUAGGUGGCAAGCGUUAUCCGGAAUUAUUGGGCGUAAAGCGCGCGCAGGUGGUUUCUUAAGUCUGAUGUGAAAGCCCACGGCUCAACCGUGGAGGGUCAUUGGAAACUGGGAGACUUGAGUGCAGAAGAGGAAAGUGGAAUUCCAUGUGUAGCGGUGAAAUGCGUAGAGAUAUGGAGGAACACCAGUGGCGAAGGCGACUUUCU
Molecule: ribosomal RNA, 411 nt
Filed under: Bacillus sp. (in: firmicutes)
Lineage: Bacteria; Bacillati; Bacillota; Bacilli; Caryophanales; Bacillaceae
Description: bacterial SSU rRNA
Rfam family: Bacterial small subunit ribosomal RNA
Source: RNAcentral